UCGCUACUACCGAUUGAAUGGCUUAGUGAGCUCUCUGGACUGUUGCAUCUUGUUGGAAACUUCAAGGCGCAUGCGGGAAGGAGAUCAAACUUGAUCAUUUAGAGGAAGUAA
RNAcentral lists this ribosomal RNA (111 nucleotides) under uncultured eukaryote. Its description in RNAcentral is "partial small subunit ribosomal RNA". The record is from RNAcentral.